Molecule: ribosomal RNA, 183 nt
Filed under: uncultured bacterium
Lineage: Bacteria
Description: partial 16S ribosomal RNA
Rfam family: Bacterial small subunit ribosomal RNA
Source: RNAcentral
CAUGAAGCUGGAAUCGCUAGUAAUCGCGGAUCAGAAUGCCGCGGUGAAUACGUUCCCGGGUCUUGUACACACCGCCCGUCACACCAUGGGAGUCGGAAAUGCCCGAAGUCUGUGACCCAACCAUUAAGGAGGGAGCAGCCGAAGGCAGGUCGGAUGACUGGGGUGAAGUCGUAACAAGGUAGC